RNAcentral lists this unclassified non-coding RNA (305 nucleotides) under plant metagenome. RNAcentral describes it as "partial contains 5.8S ribosomal RNA, internal transcribed spacer 2, and large subunit ribosomal RNA". The stretch from base 1 to 105 matches the Rfam family "5.8S ribosomal RNA", at positions 50 to 154 of the family's 154-position model. The record is from RNAcentral.
GAAAUGCGAUAAGUAAUGUGAAUUGCAGAAUUCAGCGAAUCAUCGAAUCUUUGAACGCACAUUGCGCCCGCCAGUAUUCUGGCGGGCAUGCCUGUUCGAGCGUCAUUUCAACCAUCAAGCCCCCGGCUUGUGUUGGGGACCUGCGGCUGCCCGCAGGCCCUGAAAAACAGUGGCGGGCUCGCUGUCACACCGAGCGUAGUAGCAUACAUUCUCGCUCAGGGCGUGCUGCGGGUUCCGGCCGUUAAACGACCUUCAUAACCCAAGGUUGACCUCGGAUCAGGUAGGAAGACCCGCUGAACUUAAGC